RNAcentral lists this ribosomal RNA (440 nucleotides) under uncultured bacterium. RNAcentral describes it as "partial 16S ribosomal RNA". It matches the Rfam family "Bacterial small subunit ribosomal RNA", at positions 338 to 795 of the family's 1533-position model. The record is from RNAcentral.
CCUACGGGAGGCAGCAGUGGGGAAUAUUGCACAAUGGGGGAAACCCUGAUGCAGCGACGCCGCGUGAAGGAAGAAGUAUUUCGGUAUGUAAACUUCUAUCAGCAGGGAAGAAAAUGACGGUACCUGACUAAGAAGCCCCGGCUAACUACGUGCCAGCAGCCGCGGUAAUACGUAGGGGGCAAGCGUUAUCCGGAUUUACUGGGUGUAAAGGGAGCGUAGGCGGUUUAGCAAGUCAGAAGUGAAAGCCCGGGGCUCAACCCCGGGACUGCUUUUGAAACUGGUGAACUAGAGUGCAGGAGAGGUAAGUGGAAUUCCUAGUGUAGCGGUGAAAUGCGUAGAUAUUAGGAGGAACACCAGUGGCGAAGGCGGCUUACUGGACUGUAAAUGACGCUGAGGCUCGAAAGCGUGGGGAGCAAACAGGAUUAGAUACCCGGGUAGUC